Molecule: ribosomal RNA, 411 nt
Filed under: Triticum aestivum (bread wheat)
Lineage: Eukaryota; Viridiplantae; Streptophyta; Magnoliopsida; Poales; Poaceae
Description: partial small subunit ribosomal RNA
Source: RNAcentral
AUGAUGAGUACCAAGACAUUCGCUCGGCUGGCCAAGAAGUGGCAGAAGGUCUGCGAAGAAACCAAAGGGUCUUGCAGCACAUCAUGCUUCUCAGUGGACGGCAAGGGCCACUGCAUCGUGUACACUGCUGACGGCGUGAGAUUUGAGGUGCCGCUUGCGUUCCUCGGUACGACAGUCUUCGGCGAGCUCUUUAGGAUGUCCCAAGAGGAGUUUGGCUUCACAGGCGUUGACAGUCGCAGAAUCACGCUGCCAUGUGAUGCAUCGGUGAUGGAGUACGCCCUGUGCUUGCUCAGGAGAAGCGCCUCUGCAGAAAUGGAGGCCGCGUUCCUCUACUCCAUGGCGAUGCCAUGCCACUAUCAUGCUGCGGCACAUCUGGGAGUUAACCAGCAUUUUGGUGUCUGCAACUGCUGA